RNAcentral lists this ribosomal RNA (376 nucleotides) under uncultured bacterium. RNAcentral's name for it is "bacterial SSU rRNA". It matches the Rfam family "Bacterial small subunit ribosomal RNA", at positions 521 to 896 of the family's 1533-position model. The record is from RNAcentral.
UAAUACGUAGGGUGCGAGCGUUAAUCGGAAUUACUGGGCGUAAAGCGUGUGCAGGCGGUUUGUUAAGACAGGUGUGAAAUCCCCGGGCUUAACCUGGGAAUUGCGCUUGUUACUGGCAAGCUAGAGUGCGUCAGAGGGAGGUGGAAUUCCACGUGUAGCAGUGAAAUGCGUAGAGAUGUGGAGGAACACCGAUGGCGAAGGCAGCCUCCUGGGAUGACACUGACGCUCAUACACGAAAGCGUGGGGAGCAAACAGGAUUAGAUACCCUGGUAGUCCACGCCCUAAACGAUGUCAACUGGUUGUUGGGUGACUUGAUCACUUAGUAACGUAGCUAACGCGCGAAGUUGACCGCCUGGGGAGUACGGUCGCAAGAUUA